RNAcentral lists this ribosomal RNA (554 nucleotides) under Trichoderma hamatum. Its description in RNAcentral is "eukaryotic LSU rRNA". The stretch from base 151 to 304 matches the Rfam family "5.8S ribosomal RNA". The record is from RNAcentral. Lineage: Eukaryota; Fungi; Ascomycota; Sordariomycetes; Hypocreales; Hypocreaceae.
UUACCAAACUGUUGCCUCGGCGGGGUCACGCCCCGGGUGCGUAAAAGCCCCGGAACCAGGCGCCCGCCGGAGGAACCAACCAAACUCUUUCUGUAGUCCCCUCGCGGACGUAUUUCUUACAGCUCUGAGCAAAAAUUCAAAAUGAAUCAAAUCUUUCAACAACGGAUCUCUUGGUUCUGGCAUCGAUGAAGAACGCAGCGAAAUGCGAUAAGUAAUGUGAAUUGCAGAAUUCUGUGAAUCAUCGAAUCUUUGAACGCACAUUGCGCCCGCCAGUAUUCUUGCGGGCAUGCCUGUCCGAGCGUCAUUUCAACCCUCGAACCCCUCCGGGGGAUCGGCGUUGGGGAUCGGGACCCCUCACCGGGUGCCGGCCCUGAAAUACAGUGGCGGUCUCGCCGCAGCCUCUCCUGCGCAGUAGUUUGCACAUCUCGCACCGGGAGCGCGGCGCGUCCACGUCCGUAAAACACCCAACUUCUGAAAUGUUGACCUCGGAUCAGGUAGGAAUACCCGCUGAAGCAUAAUCUAGAUGCAUCGCGAGGACCGAGCCGACGCCCCGC